Molecule: ribosomal RNA, 165 nt
Filed under: uncultured organism
Description: partial 16S ribosomal RNA
Rfam family: Bacterial small subunit ribosomal RNA
Source: RNAcentral
UACGGGAGGCAGCAGUGCGGAAUAUUGCACAAUGGGCGCAAGCCUGAUCCAGCCAUGCCGCGUGUAUGAAGAAGGCCUUCGGGUUGUAAAGUACUUUCAGCAGAGAGGAAGAUGCACUGCUUGAUACGUACAUCAUUUGACGUUAGCUGCAGAAGAAGCAGCGGC